Macaca fascicularis (crab-eating macaque) is the source of this 148-nucleotide unclassified non-coding RNA. It matches the Rfam family "Metazoan signal recognition particle RNA". Rfam says of the family: The signal recognition particle (SRP) is a universally conserved ribonucleoprotein. It is involved in the co-translational targeting of proteins to membranes. Lineage: Eukaryota; Metazoa; Chordata; Mammalia; Primates; Cercopithecidae. The record is from Ensembl.
GCCGGGUGUGGUGGCGCACGCCUGUAGUUCCAGCUACUCAGAAGGCUGAGGUGGGAGGAUCACCUGAGUCUGGGAGAUCAAGGUUGCAGUGAGCCAUGAUCAUGCUACUGCACGCCAGCCUGGACAACAGGGUGAGACCCCAUCUCAA